This is a long non-coding RNA of Peromyscus californicus insignis, 5250 nucleotides long. RefSeq lists it as uncharacterized. The record is from RefSeq and is a predicted model, not a curated record. The transcript is spliced from 2 exons. Lineage: Eukaryota; Metazoa; Chordata; Mammalia; Rodentia; Cricetidae.
AGAAACAUACAGAAGUGGAUUAGGGAACAUUCUAGACCAGUACUUCCCAACCUUCCUAAUGCUGCGACCCUUUAAUUCAGUUCUUCGUGUCAUGUUGACCCCCCAGCCAUGAAGUUAUUUCAUUGCUACUUCAUAACUGCAAUGUUGCUGUUAUGAAUUGUAAUGUAAAUAUCUGAUACGCAGGAUAUUUGAUAUACGACCCCUGUGAAAGGGUUGUUCAACCCCAAAGGGGUUGUGACCUGCAGGUUGAGAAAUCCUGUUUUAGACUAAGGAUGAACUACUUUCCAGGAAGACCCCAUUGAACUGUGUGGUCACGGGACUUUCUUAGCCGUGGAUACAGAGACCCGAGAUGAAGAUACCUGUAAAAGCAAAGGGGACCAUGAUCAAGAGGGAUUGUGGUGGCAGGAGGCUGAUCAAACUGGGGUGGCAAUGGCUCAGAGUGGAAGGAGUUCGUUUUCUGCAGCUGUGAAAAAUACCAUGGACUGGGUGCAGUAUAAACCGGAAGUCUGUUUGGUUUACAGUUCUGUAGGCUGGGAGUCCAUUGUCAAGAGGCAGUACCUGAGGGGGGGGGGGGACUUCCUUACUGCAACACAGCAUGGGUGGGGGGGGUGACACCCCACUCCUGGAUGACAAUAUUAGUCCAUUGGCUGGACUAGAGCCCAGGUGGCACUAUCACCCCUACAGCUCCCCCCUUAACGCCAUCACCAUAACAAUUACAUGCCCCCAUGCAUUCUGGAGGACAUUCAAACCACAGCAAGCAGGUUUUCUAGUUUGCAGGGGGGGGGGGGGGCUCAGUGUGGAAAAUGUAAACAUAGGCUAGUGGGCCAUGCCCCACUACCCUACCACCUAUCAAGAGGCACUGUCUCCCCAUCUGCCUGAUGCUGUUUAUGAGGCCCUAAACACGUCAGGAAAGACACCCCUGAUAGCGAGGCCGACAAAGCACAGAGGAUGCUUGGAGAGCUCCAGUUCAUACCCUGGGCUGCUUCUGGCUGGUAAGCAAUUGAAGUGGGUUUGUUUCUGAGUGACUGAGGAGAAAGAACACAGGCAGGGCAGAUUUAAUGAAUGGUUUCAUGCCCACAGAAGGACGGGGCCUCACAGGGUAAUAGCAAAGCAAGUAUCACAACCGCUCUGCACACCGCGUGAAAACAGCUCACGGACUCCGCCCACGGACAACGCGUGCUACUUCAAGGACGGGCCCAUCGGCCAACACAUCAUACUACGUUCCCACUUCAGAGUUGAGCAAAUUAAGGCCCAGAGACCCCUUUUACUUGCCCAAGGUCACAGAGCUGGGAAGCAAAGCUGGGCAGUGUGUGACCUGCUCACUUCUGACAACUCCUGCUGUGGCCGAGGGACAGAAAAGUCCCGUGGCUCAGUUCGAUGUCCUGGCCAGAAGACAGCACAGUCCCAUCCUGACGGUCCUAAGGCACCUCUGUCUUCCUGCUUAUGAUUUAUCAAUAGAGAUGUCUGAUCACUGACGCACUAUUUUUAAACUUUUUUUUUUCUUUUUUUGCAGUAUGGGGCAUGGAACCCAAGGCCUCCUGCAUUCUAGGCGAGUGCUCCCCGAGUCAUACCCUUGCCCUCCUGCCAUAUUCUCUAAAAGGAGAAAAAGAAAUCAGACAAGCUGCCCCUGGAUGGGAUAUACCGCUGGAAUGAUGCCUCUGGCUUCCUCUGUGGCUGUGGCUGCUGCAACCCACCAGAGGAGACCCUUCAAUCUGAAGGAAGCCAUUGUGACCAAGGGCAGGCUUCCCAGAGAGAUUCUAGAAAUGAGGUUAGAGGGGAGAGGACCACUGUGCUCCCUCUAAGAAGAUGUCAUUCUUAGUUGGCUGGGCAUCUAUCUUGGAUGGUGACCAGAUGGCUGGAGAUCCAGGGGCACAAAAGGGAACUUCUUGUCCUUGCUCGGCCAUUACUAGACUUUGUAACCUUGGACUCUUGAAGCUGUCUGGGUUUGGGUUUGCUUCUCUUUAAGAUGAAAUGGCCUGGGACAAGACAUGCCCUAACUCUAAUAGCUCCAGCCCUUCCUGAGGGCUCCAGGAUGCAUCAUCCUUGAAAACUGCUAAAACAUUUUAGGCCUGAUGAUAGUGUGUGUGUGUGUGUGUGUGUGUGUGUGUGUGUGUGUGUGUGUGUGUGUAUGUGUGUGUGUAGGGUGUGUACUGGCUGGUUUUGUGUGUCAACUUGACACAAGCUAGAGUCAUCAGAGGAAGGAGUCUCAGUUGAGGAAAUAGUUCGAUGAGAUCCAGCUAUAAGGCAUUUUCUCAUUUAGUGAUCAAUGGAAGGGCCCAGCCCAUGGUGGGUGGUGCCAUCCCUGGGCUGGUGGUCCUGGGUUCCAUAAGAAAGCAGGCUAAGCAAGUCCUGUGAAGCAAGCCAGUAAGCAGCUCCCUCCAUGGCCUCUGCAUCAGCUCUUGCCUCCAGGAUCCUGCCCUGUUUGAGUUCCUGUCCUGAUUUCCUCUGGUGAUAACAGCAAUGCUGAAGUGUAAGCCAAAUAAACCCUUUCCUCCUCAACUCACAUUUUGGUCAUGGUGUUUUGUUGCAGCAAUAAAAACCCUAACUAAGACGGGAGCUUAUGGAUUAAGGUUAUGAAUGAAUGAAUGAAUGAAUGAAUGAAUGAAUGAAUUUUAAAACAUAAAUAUUAGGGGGCUGGAGAGAUGGCUCAGAGGUUAAGAGCACUGGCUGCUCUUCCAGAGGUCCCGAGUUCAAUUCCCAGCAACCACAUGGUGGCUCACAACCAUCCAUAAUGAGAUCUGGGGCCCUCUUCUGGCCUGCAGGUGUAUAUGAAGACAGAACACUGUAUACAUAAUAAAUAAAUUUAAAAAAAAACAAAAAACCCAUAAAUAUUAUUAUGGUUAUCAAAACAUAGGUAAAUGAAUAAUUAAGACUAGUUAGGGGUAUCCUUUUGGACAUCCAACUCUGGAAGGGUCUUGAUCUCAUGGCUAUAAGCUGUCCUGUGGACUGCCAAGGGGCUGCCUCAGUUAAUUCUAGGUGAGGGUUUCUAGGCUUCUCUUCAGAGAGACAGGUAACGCUCUCAUCCUGACCUGUUCUCAGGUGAGCAGAGUGUGACCAAAUGCCCUUCUUGAGGCAGAGGAUGGCAAGUUCAAGGCCAGAUAGGGCAACCGAUUGAGAAGCUGUCUCAAGAUGGGAAGUAAAAAGAGCGCCGGGUCUCUUGAUCAGCGGCAGAGAACUUGCCUAGUGUUCGGUUCGGGUCCCUUCUUGAGUACAAAACAGAAGGAAAUCAGGAGGAUGUGCUGAUAGAUUUAUUCUGGAAAGGCGUCAGGGUUUCCCUGGCAGAAAGCAUCUCCUUUUAGAAACCAGGUCUGAUGGGAGUUAGGUUGGCACAGGUCCAGGGAAAAGAUAGGCCCCAGGGUCACUCACUAACUCCACCUGCCAGCUCUGACCAGGAAGCAGGAUUUCUUUCUAGGUUAAUCUGGGGGACAUGUAACUGGUGUUUGCAUCCCUAUGGGGAGUCAGGGAGACGCCCCAGCUCUCUGCAUUUCCCACUUGAGUUUAUCUUCAGGGAGUCUUGGUGGGAGCUGGGGACUGGAGGAAGCAUUCCCUGACCUAACUUGGGAACCUCCCUGGCCCCUGCUCCUAGAUCCUGCCAGAAUCUAUAGAGGGCUCAUGGGAGGGGCAGAGAUAGAGUGCUGUGUGGUUUGUUCUUUAGUUGUUUUGUCUUGUUGGGGUGGAACAUUUGGUGAAGUUGAUAAAGUCAUUGCCCCCCCACCCCCGGCCAAAACUUUAGAAUAAAAUUCUUACAUUCUAUUUCUUUGACCCUGAGAUCUGAUAGUAGCUUAACAAAAGUAGAGUUUCAGAGACGAUACAAACCAUGGUGCUGAUGAGGAAAUUUAGAUUGUGUAGGAAAUAUUGAUCUCAGUUAUUAGUAUUGUACACCGGCAGUAUAAAUAGUAUUAAGAGCUGUGUUAGUCUAUUUUUUUUUUGUUACUAUAACGAAACAUUCAAAGCUGAGAACCUUAUGAAGUAAGAAGAUUUAUUUCAUCUCACAGAUGUGGAAGUUAAAGGUGGAGGGACCCUAUCUAGUGGUGGGGCCUGCUGGCAGGGUUCCAGGUAGCACAGGACAGCACAUGGCAAGAGACAGGGAUGUGCACGUGACUUCUGGUCUCUGUCUCUGUCUCUCUGUCCCCUCCCCUGAUACAGUCACAGGAUUCAGUUAUGAGGGCUCUGCCCUGAAGAUUGAACCUAAUUCUAGUCAUUGCUAAAGAUCCUGACUUAAUUCAGUUCUGUCCCGUAUACAAACCGUGGUGACAGAACAAUGAAGAUCAGAGCCUCUUGGGUUUCCAGGGAGGAUAGGGUCUGUGACAGCAGGGCAGUUGGAGGGGGACAUUCCACAGGCCUUCUCAGAGCCAGAGCUCUGAGCACUUGAAAGUCUCAUCAGGAAUGGCAGGAACAAUCUAAGUUGUUUCUAGUACUACUCCUUAAGGAUUGAAAGUUUUUUGAGAUUUUAUUUAUUUUUACUUUAUGUGUAUAGGUGUGUGUCUAAAUAUAUAUCUGUGCACCCUGUGUGCCUGCAGAGGCCAGAAGAAGAUAUCAGAAUCCCUGGGACUGGAGUCACAGAUGGUUCUGAGCCACUGUGUGAGUGCUAAGUAUUGAACCUGGGUCUUCUGGAAGAGUAGCUAGUGUUCUUAUCUGCUGAACCAUCUCCAGCCCUCCAUUAAAGGUUUUUUUAUAAAUGUGGUAUGGUUUUAGAAGCUGUCUUAUUUCUUGCAUUUGUUCAGUAGACUUUCUUUUUUGACUGUCAAGUGUUGACUUAAGAAAAAAUAUGAGGUUGUUAAGAUAGUUAUAACUUUCCCCUAGAUAAAUGUGAACAUAUGUAAUUGUUUUUGAUACUGAAGAAUGAGCCUGGGCCUUGUGCAGGCUGAGUAAGGGGUCUGUCACCAAGCCCUGUCUCCAGGCCUCUUUUCACUUUUUGAGACAGGAUCUCACGGAGUUGCCCAGGCUGGCCUUGAACUCACUUUGUAGUUUAAGCAGCUUUGGACUUGUGAUCCUCCUGCCUCAGUCUCCUGGUCCGGCUGUACAUAUUCUUUCUAUGAUUACUCCAAGACUUUCGUUGGGGAAGCAGUGUGGUCCACAGUAUGAAUGCAUCCAUCCUGAAGGCUUUAUAUCCUUCAUGUGAUAAUGUGUAAGGACAUCAUAUAAUUGUAUUUUCUUUUUCCAGAGGAAAAAGUAGAAACUUUGAGAAAUACAUACACUAUCCAGAGCUACUCAGCUAACUGAAAAAAAAAAAAAAACCCACAAUAUCUA